Molecule: long non-coding RNA, 996 nt
Organism: Formica exsecta
Lineage: Eukaryota; Metazoa; Arthropoda; Insecta; Hymenoptera; Formicidae
Exons: 2
Source: RefSeq, a predicted model, not a curated record
CGCAGAGUACGGAUCCCACGGGAGCGCCUAAUCCCUUGCUUAGGCAAAAAGUAACUGAGUCGAACGGAGCGGCUAAUUCCUUCACCGAGAUCCCCGACGCGACCGAGGCGUUCCACAAUCGCGCCCCAUCCAAAUGCAUCCUGAGAUUAUGCUUCCUCGCCACCACUAUCAACUCCUCGACCCACGAUUGAGGGUAUGAAGAUUCACACCAGCUACUUGCGCCGCAGCAGCCUGUUCAUGAAGAAAUACGUGCGAUUCGUCUCCGCAGUAAGCUUCGCUGCCGCGUACGUUGCAGUGAUUCAUAACUGGAAAAGGAGACACAGAGCAUAUUUUUCUGAACAAAAUGCGCUUGGCUUUUUGCAACCUUAUAUUUCAAUUUAUAAAUUUUCAUUUAUUUUUAUUUAAAUGAUUUCAAUCGGUUGAAGCAUUAAUAAGUGCAUAAAAGUUCUGCGUUUUUUACAAAUCGAUUAUAAUUUUCUAUAAAAUACAUAUAUGUUUAAACAUCUAAUUUGUUGCCCGUGUUGGCAAUUUAUUUCAUUAAAAUUAUUUGUAUGUUUAUUUAGAAUUUUAAUAAAAAUAGAAGCCAUUUUUCUAUUAGCUAAGAGAAGUUGCUUCUUUCGUGAUAAGUAAAUUAUAUUAAAUAUAUUUGGAGUAUUAAAUAUAUAAAGAUGAUUUUGGUUAAUCUUUUAAUAUAUCGGUUUAAGAAAAUCGUGAAGAAAUGUACAAAAAUUGUUUAUCAGUUUUUACCAGCAAUCAAGUUUCCCAUAGUACCAGAGUUAACAAAAAGCGCAUCUUCUUUUCCAAGCAACGCCGCUGCUUUUUUCUGUAAUUCUAGAAAAUAAUAAAAUUAUUCGAUUAAAGGAUUAUACUGCUAAAAUUUCGCGCUUUAAAUAGAAUAUAUAGGCUGUCCAAAAAAUCGUGAUCGAAACUGGCGAGGGAAUCAUUCUUGUGUGUAGAAGAUAAAAAUAAGAUAAAGAAAAAUAAAGAUAAAUUAUU